GAUGAACGCUGGCGGCGUGCCUAAUACAUGCAAGUCGAACGGAUAUGUAGCAAUACAUGUUAGUGGCGAACGGGUGAGUAACGCGUUGGUGACCUGCCCCGAAGUGUGGGAUAACAGUUCGAAAGAAUUGCUAAUACCGCAUGUGGUCUCUGGCUUUAGAAACCGGUGACUAAAGGAGUAAUUCGCUUCGGGAUGGACCUGCGUCCCAUCAGCUAGUUGGUAGGGUAACGGCCUACCAAGGCAUUGACGGGUAAGGGACCUGAGAGGGUGGUCCCUCACAAUGGCACUGAAACACGGGCCAUACACCUACGGGAGGCAG
Molecule: ribosomal RNA, 319 nt
Filed under: uncultured Chloroflexota bacterium
Lineage: Bacteria; Bacillati; Chloroflexota
Description: bacterial SSU rRNA
Rfam family: Bacterial small subunit ribosomal RNA
Source: RNAcentral